UAUUUUUACAAAUUGAAGAUUUGUGGCGACCUUGCACAAAAGGCGAAUGCGUUUAUCAGCACAUUUUCCAACAGCAUGUGCUCACUUCAUAUCUGUCAUAUUGAAUAAAGAGAGUCUGGUGGAGGACCUGGGAGUUGAAUUUCAACAAGUGCUUUGGUGAUUCUGAGCAGGUGGCCCCACCUACACGUGAAGAAAGCAGCGUGCACUGUGGACUUUGUGACACUGCAGCAUCUGCUACUGUAUUUACAUGGGCCUUUACUUCUCUGACUGCCCCAUGGACUACCAGAGUUGAGGGUGGGGCCAUUGUUGUAUCUCUGGCACAGCACUUGCCAUAAAAUCAUCUUCCUUCCAUGACUUCAGGAGAACCACAAGCUGCAGCCCCUCUGCAGUCACUUCCAUAGAAGCAUCACACGUCU
This is a long non-coding RNA of Talpa occidentalis (Iberian mole), 416 nucleotides long. RefSeq lists it as uncharacterized. The record is from RefSeq and is a predicted model, not a curated record. NCBI's taxonomy places the organism in Eukaryota, Metazoa, Chordata, Mammalia, Eulipotyphla, Talpidae. The transcript has 4 exons.